GGAAAAUUGCCUCCGAACCAAAGA
RNAcentral lists this non-coding RNA (24 nucleotides) under Arabidopsis thaliana (thale cress). Lineage: Eukaryota; Viridiplantae; Streptophyta; Magnoliopsida; Brassicales; Brassicaceae. The record is from RNAcentral.